This 522-nucleotide ribosomal RNA is filed under the name uncultured bacterium. Its description in RNAcentral is "bacterial SSU rRNA". It matches the Rfam family "Bacterial small subunit ribosomal RNA", at positions 355 to 896 of the family's 1533-position model. The record is from RNAcentral.
UGGGGAAUAUUGCACAAUGGGGGGAACCCUGAUGCAGCAACGCCGCGUGAGUGAAGAAGGCAUUCGUGUCGUAAAGCUCUGUAGUAGGGGAAGAAAGAAAUGACAGUACCCUAAAAGAAAGCCCCGGCUAACUACGUGCCAGCAGCCGCGGUAAUACGUAGGGGGCAAGCGUUAUCCGGAAUAACUGGGCGUAAAGGGUGCGCAGGUGGUUUAACAAGUUAGUGGUGAAAGGCAUAGGCUCAACCAAUGUAAGCCAUUAAAACUGUUUAACUUGAGUGCAGGAGAGGAAAGUGGAAUUCCUAGUGUAGCGGUGAAAUGCGUAGAUAUUAGGAGGAAUACCAGUGGCGAAGGCGACUUUCUGGACUGCAACUGACACUGAGGCACGAAAGCGUGGGGAGCAAACAGGAUUAGAUACCCUGGUAGUCCACGCCGUAAACGAUGAGUACUAGGUGUCGGGUGAAGAACUCGGUGCCGAAGUUAACACAUUAAGUACUCCGCCUGGGGAGUACGCUCGCAAGAGUA